RNAcentral lists this ribosomal RNA (490 nucleotides) under uncultured bacterium. Its description in RNAcentral is "bacterial SSU rRNA". It matches the Rfam family "Bacterial small subunit ribosomal RNA", at positions 501 to 987 of the family's 1533-position model. The record is from RNAcentral.
CUACGUGCCAGCAGCCGCGGUAAUGCGUAGGGCGCGAGCGUUGUCCGGAAUUAUUGGGCGUAAAGAGCUUGUAGGCGGUUUGUCGCGUCUGCUGUGAAAGGCCGGGGCUUAACUCCGUGUAUUGCAGUGGGUACGGGCAGACUAGAGUGCAGUAGGGGAGACUGGAAUUCCUGGUGUAGCGGUGGAAUGCGCAGAUAUCAGGAGGAACACCGAUGGCGAAGGCAGGUCUCUGGGCUGUAACUGACGCUGAGAAGCGAAAGCAUGGGGAGCGAACAGGAUUAGAUACCCUGGUAGUCCAUGCCGUAAACGUUGGGCACUAGGUGUGGGGAACAUUCCACGUUUUCCGCGCCGUAGCUAACGCAUUAAGUGCCCCGCCUGGGGAGUACGGCCGCAAGGCUAAAACUCAAAGAAAUUGACGGGGGCCCGCACAAGCGGCGGAGCAUGCGGAUUAAUUCGAUGCAACGCGAAGAACCUUACCAAGGCUUGACAU